RNAcentral lists this long non-coding RNA (231 nucleotides) under Elaeis guineensis (African oil palm). Its description in RNAcentral is "long non-coding RNA (EGUI_LNC080998)". The record is from RNAcentral. Lineage: Eukaryota; Viridiplantae; Streptophyta; Magnoliopsida; Arecales; Arecaceae.
GGGUUCACCCUUUUUAUGAUUUUCUAACGAUUCCGAUGGUCGUGAGGGUCUAAAGCCAUGAGGAGAAAGGAAAGAGGAUGAGGAAGAGAAAUUGGAGCCUUACUUGAGCUCCAGUGGUAUCUCCGACCUCCGAUUUUUGAUGAACACAAAAAUAGGAGGCUGCAGCUUUCAACGGAGAAAAGAAGAGGAAUCUAGCUUGAAUAUUGUCGGUAGAGGGUCUUGAGGGAGGGG